GGUAAGCGCUGGACCAGAGCAUCACAGAGCAACAACCAAGUCAUCGCCCAGGCACGCUGAGCACAGACUGCAGUUCCAUGAUGGACAGAGGCAGAAUGGGGGGGCACCUUUGCGCCCUGCUGUUGCUGGUAGCCCUGGUGAUGGGGGUCCUCGGUACAGACCCACCCACCUCCCCAUCGACAACCGUUAACUCCACCCACUCAUCGGCAAACCAAACUCACUCAGCUGCCCAACCCGGCACCUGCGACUGGUUCACCUUCUCACUGUCCCUGUACCUGUCCCUGUCCCUGGCGGUCCUGCUUCACUAACAGCGCCUCGGACCUGCCGGAUCUCACGCAGUCGACCCCUGAUUGGCUGCACGCAUGUUGAUUUGUGCUCAGACAUCCAGUCAAACUGCUUCAGUGAUGAUGAAUUUGUGUCUUUCCUUUUACGUACCUUGCGAAAACCCUUGUCCCAGUUUUAGGGAAAUUUCAUGUUUUGUGUAUGUAAAUGUUUUGCUUGUGGGCAACGAACCAGGCUCACAUGCUGCCAAAAAUAAAACAGAAUCCUUCAGAUAUGAGGGCGCCUCCUACCGGUCUUCCGGAUACUUCUUCUCCCACUAUGCCAGGAGGGCUGGCGCUCCACCUGUCAACCCUCAACCGGCCCCCCAGGACACCCCAAAUAUUUGGGGGAGGGGGUGUCUGUAAGGCGAAUCAGGACUGCUAGAUGUUCAUUCCUCUGCAUACCUUUUGUAAUCAAACAGCUGUUAACUGAUCAGGUCUGCAUAGUGCCAUUUUUAGAGCCUGGUGUUGUAGGUUUCUGCAUGUCGAAUAAAAUCACUACACAAA
Molecule: non-coding RNA, 827 nt
Organism: Paramormyrops kingsleyae
Lineage: Eukaryota; Metazoa; Chordata; Actinopteri; Osteoglossiformes; Mormyridae
Source: RefSeq, a predicted model, not a curated record